GAUGAACGCUAGCGGCAGGCCUAAUACAUGCAAGUCGAGGGGCAGCGGGGUAGCAAUACUGCCGGCGACCGGCGCACGGGUGCGUAACACGUAUGCAACCUACCUUAAACAGGGGGGAUUAGCCCGGGGAAACUCGGGAUUAAUACCCCCAUAACACGGUGUUGUCUCAUGACAGUAUCGUUAAAGAUUUAUCGGUUUAAGCUGGGCAUGCGUUCGAUUAGCUAGUUGGUGAGGUAAUGGCUCACCAAGGCUACGAUCGAUAGGGGGUCUGAGAGGAUGAUCCCCCACACUGGUACUGAGAUACGGACCAGACUCCUACGGGAGGCAGCAGUAGGGAAUAUUGGUCAAUGGGCGCAAGCCUGAACCAGCCAUGCCGCGUGCAGGAAGAAGGCCCUCUGGGUUGUAAACUGCUUUUGAUAGGGAACAAAUGCCACUUGCGAGUGGAGCUGAGUGUACCUAUAGAAUAAGC
RNAcentral lists this ribosomal RNA (469 nucleotides) under uncultured bacterium. RNAcentral describes it as "bacterial SSU rRNA". It matches the Rfam family "Bacterial small subunit ribosomal RNA", at positions 28 to 491 of the family's 1533-position model. The record is from RNAcentral.